CCUACGGGAGGCAGCAGUGGGGAAUAUUGCACAAUGGGGGAAACCCUGAUGCAGCAACGCCGCGUGAGUGAAGAAGUAUUUCGGUAUGUAAAGCUCUAUCAGCAGGGAAGAAAAAAGACGGUACCUGACUAAGAAGCCCCGGCUAACUACGUGCCAGCAGCCGCGGUAAUACGUAGGGGGCAAGCGUUAUCCGGAUUUACUGGGUGUAAAGGGAGCGUAGACGGCAUAGCAAGUCUGAAGUGAAAACUAUGGGCUUAACCCAUAGCCUGCUUUUGAAACUGUUUUUCUUGAGUGAAGUAGAGGCA
RNAcentral lists this ribosomal RNA (305 nucleotides) under uncultured bacterium. RNAcentral's name for it is "bacterial SSU rRNA". It matches the Rfam family "Bacterial small subunit ribosomal RNA", at positions 338 to 659 of the family's 1533-position model. The record is from RNAcentral.